RNAcentral lists this ribosomal RNA (484 nucleotides) under uncultured Bacteroidota bacterium. RNAcentral describes it as "bacterial SSU rRNA". It matches the Rfam family "Bacterial small subunit ribosomal RNA", at positions 355 to 835 of the family's 1533-position model. Lineage: Bacteria; Pseudomonadati; Bacteroidota. The record is from RNAcentral.
UAAGGAAUAUUGGACAAUGGCCGCAAGGCUGAUCCAGCCAUCCAGCGUGCAGGAAGAAGGCCCUACGGGUUGUAAACUGCUUUUGUCAGGGAAGAAACCCUUGGAUUGACUCCGAGGCUGACGGUACCUGAAGAAUAAGCACCGGCUAACUCCGUGCCAGCAGCCGCGGUAAUACGGAGGGUGCGAGCGUUAUCCGGAAUUACUGGGUUUAAAGGGUGCGUAGGCGGCUUGGUAAGUCAGGAGUGAAAGUUUGCGGCUCAACCGUAAAAUUGCUUUUGAUACUGCCGGGCUAGAAUCAGGAUGAGGUCAGCGGAAUGUGGCAUGUAGCGGUGAAAUGCAUAGAUAUGCCAUAGAACACCUAUUGCGAAGGCAGCUGGCUAGACCUGUAUUGACGCUGAGGCACGAAAGCGUGGGGAGCGAACAGGGUUAGAUACCCUGGUAGUCCACGCCCUAAACGAUGCUUACUCGACGUACGGCACUAGAU